AACGCACCUUGCACCUUUUGGAAUUCCGAAAGGUAUGCCUGUUUGAGUGUCUGUGAAACAUAUGAGUUAAUAACUCGAUUUGAGCAUUGCAUUAGAUUGCUUGCUUUAAAUGGAUUAGUCAGGGUUUGCCGUCAAGUAACGAAGCGUAAUAAGUUCCGCUUAGUGAAAGGGCAAAUAUUGGCUCCUAAUUGCUAUUAGGAUUUCGGUCCUAAGCAUUUAUCAAAUUAGACCUCAAAUCAGGUAGGACUACCCGCUGAACUUAA
RNAcentral lists this unclassified non-coding RNA (263 nucleotides) under uncultured Basidiomycota. RNAcentral's name for it is "sequence contains ITS2". Lineage: Eukaryota; Fungi; Basidiomycota. The record is from RNAcentral.